AGAGUUUGAUGGUGGCUCAGAGNGAACGCUGGCGGCGUGCCUAACACAUGCAAGUCGAACGAGAACGGGUUUAGUUUACUAAACUGUCAGCUAAGUGGCGCACGGGUGAGUAAUGUAUAGUUAACCUGCCCUCUAGAAAGGAAUAACAGUUGGAAACGACUGCUAAUGCCCUAUAUGCCCAUAAUACAUAAGUAUGCUGGGGAAACGCUUUAGUGCUAGAGGAUGGGACUGUAUGGUAUCAGAUAGUUGGUGAGGUAAUGGCUCACCAAGUCAAUGACGCCUAACUGGUUUGAGAGGAUGAUCAGUCACACUGGAACUGAGACACGGUCCAGACUCCUACGGGAGGCAGCAGUGGGGAAUAUUGCACAAUGGAGGAAACUCUGAUGCAGCAACGCCGCGUGGAGGAUGACACUUUUCGGAGCGUAAACUCCUUUUAUAUAGGAAGAUAAUGACGGUACUAUAUGAAUAAGCACCGGCUAACUCCGUGCCAGCAGCCGCGGUAAUACGGAGGGUGCAAGCGUUACUCGGAAUCACUGGGCGUAAAGAGCGUGUAGGCGGGUUAUUAAGUCAGAAGUGAAAUCCUAUGGCUCAACCAUAGAACUGCUUUUGAAACUGGUAACCUAGAGUAUGGGAGAGGUAGAUGGAAUUUCUGGUGUAGGGGUAAAAUCCGUAGAGAUCAGAAGGAAUACCGAUUGCGAAGGCGAUCUACUGGAACAUUACUGACGCUGAGACGCGAAAGCGUGGGGAGCAAACAGGAUUAGAUACCCUGGUAGUCCACGCCCUAAACGAUGUACACUAGUUGUUGCCAUGCUAGACAUGGCAGUAAUGCAGUUAACACAUUAAGUGUACCGCCUGGGGAGUACGGUCGCAAGAUUAAAACUCAAAGGAAUAGACGGGGACCCGCACAAGCGG
Molecule: ribosomal RNA, 912 nt
Filed under: uncultured Arcobacter sp.
Lineage: Bacteria; Pseudomonadati; Campylobacterota; Epsilonproteobacteria; Campylobacterales; Arcobacteraceae
Description: bacterial SSU rRNA
Rfam family: Bacterial small subunit ribosomal RNA
Source: RNAcentral